Long non-coding RNA from Passer domesticus (house sparrow), 1474 nucleotides. RefSeq lists it as uncharacterized. The transcript has 3 exons. NCBI's taxonomy places the organism in Eukaryota, Metazoa, Chordata, Aves, Passeriformes, Passeridae. The record is from RefSeq and is a predicted model, not a curated record.
GUUGGUUCUGCUCCCCAUCAUUCCUUUUUUUUGAUCUGUGAUAUCAUAAAGGCCUCACUUCAGAGAAAUUCGUUGGCACAUGCUGCUCUGCCUUGGCUAAGACAGACCCAUGCAAGACAGAUCUCACAGUCAAGGAAAGGGACUAACAAGGACUAAGGAAGAAAUUCUCCAUGGACCUUUUAGGUACAAGCUGUAGAUGUUACCAGUGUCCUCUGGCCUUUCCUAAGGAAGUUCCUGUGGUCAAGAUUCUGCCUUAUCUGAGGUCUCUGGCUGAGUUUGGGUCAUCAUUACCUGCAGUCUGAGAUAGAGAAGGCAAGCCAAGAAAACAGAGAAAUAGAUGGAACCAAGCCCUGUAUCUGAGCAAGCUCUCUAGAAGCAAAUACAGACACGUUUCAGGGCUGGCAGAACACUGUGCUGAAAUUAAGUGGCGUGGGUUGUGACGGAAACACAAUUUUUCAGAUCUGGUAAUGCAUGCCAGUGAAUAAAACUUCCAUAGGCUGUACAGCAGCACCUAAAUAUUUGUCCUACUGCUGUUCAUCCAUAGCUGGCACACAUUCAGAGACUACAAAGACAAAGCCAAACCAAAGCUCAGACUGACUUUUCUACCUCUAAUUUGCAUUGCACUUUUCCCUCCAGGGAUCUUUCAUGGCUUGGUUUGGAUUCCAUCCCAGCUCAGUCCCAAACAGAGAGAUGUAUCAAACAAUUUCAACACACUGACAUAUUUCAUUUUGAAUUUAAGUAUUUGAAAUUACUUUGAAAGCACAUUCAUGACAUUUCAAUACUCUACUGGGUAACUUUUUAAUUCACCCAUUUUUCACCUCAUGGGUAGAGUGUAGGGCAGUGGGUCUAAACUAAAACCAGAAAACUGCACCAGGACAGAAUGCAAGCUCUUUGGGUGGAGUACUGUUUGCCCAGGGGAAAUUAAAACUUCAUUACUAGCUAUUCAAAAUUUGGUUAUACCAAAUACUGUUCACCAUGAGCAGGACACAGCCAUGAGUCAGCAGCAAAAGGAGACUCCAUGAGGCAAAUAAAGUAGUUCUGACUUUCCCCCCUUCACUGCAGAGGCAGAGAAGGGGACAACUAACUACUAAAUGCAUUCAGAACAUGGAGCAAAUAUGAAGGACCAGAGCAACUUUGCAACUUAAUCAAAAGCCUGUCGAAAUAACAAACUAUAUACCUACAGGGAAAUACUAUCAGGAGGGGCCAUCAAAACCAUUUUCCUCACUGUAACAGACAAGUUGGACAGCAGUAAAGGACAGCUGGCUCACCCACAGCAGCACUCCCCUUUCAAUUGACUCCCAUGCAUGGUCACUGGGGCUUCCAUUGCCAAAAGCCACAGAGUGCAAAAGCAGUCUGACUUUGGAUGAAUUCUUGCUAGGACUGAAACCUGCAGAGGUGAAUUGGGUGCACAGAGAAAGAACUCUAGCAAGGAAAAGAAAAAAGCCAGAAAACAAUGCUUAAUAAACUAUAAAUA